RNAcentral lists this ribosomal RNA (466 nucleotides) under uncultured bacterium. RNAcentral's name for it is "partial 16S ribosomal RNA". It matches the Rfam family "Bacterial small subunit ribosomal RNA", at positions 28 to 507 of the family's 1533-position model. The record is from RNAcentral.
GAUGAACGCUGGCGGCGUGCUGAACACAUGCAAGUCGAACGGAAAGUCUCCUGCUUGCAGGGGUACGCGAGUGGCGAACGGGUGUGUAACACGUUGUUUAUCUGCUCAGCACGUUGGUAUAAUCCUGUGAAACUGGGUCUAAUAUCGGUAUGGACGACGGUUUUGAUGCCAUUGUGGAAAGUUUGUUCUGGGUGAGUUAAGCUCGCCGCCUAUCAGCUUGUUGGUGGUGUAGUGGCCUACCAAGGCGUCGACGGGUAGGCGGUCUGUGAGGGUGUACGGCCUAAUUGGGACUGAGAAAUGGCCGAGACUGUUAUGGGACGCAGGAGUGGAGAAUAUUGUAGAAUGGGCGCAACACUGAUGCAGCGACGACGAGAGGGGGAAGACUGCCCUAGGGUUGUAAUCUCAUUAAGCGCGGGAUGACGCGCAAGUGACGGUACCAGGAGAAGACGCACCGGCUAAUUACGUG